RNAcentral lists this long non-coding RNA (261 nucleotides) under Elaeis guineensis (African oil palm). RNAcentral describes it as "long non-coding RNA (EGUI_LNC059196)". The record is from RNAcentral. Lineage: Eukaryota; Viridiplantae; Streptophyta; Magnoliopsida; Arecales; Arecaceae.
AGAGGGAGGUUAAUCGACCCGAACCCAAUCGAGUCGGCUCUGGGUCGGGCCAAAUGUCUACCUAAGCCUAGCCUGAUAGCCAAACAGGCUCUAUUUUUUUGGCUAGAGCCCGGCCUAAAAGGUUUGGGAUCGAAUCCGAAGCCCGACCCAAGGCUUCGGGAUGGCCCGAUGGGCCUCCUGGCAGUCCGACCCACUUCCAGCCCCAUCUGCGAGACUACCUUCACAGUGCUGCUUUUGAUGAAUUUGGAAGAUGAGGGAGAG